RNAcentral lists this ribosomal RNA (773 nucleotides) under uncultured bacterium. RNAcentral's name for it is "bacterial SSU rRNA". It matches the Rfam family "Bacterial small subunit ribosomal RNA", at positions 1 to 758 of the family's 1533-position model. The record is from RNAcentral.
UAGAGUUUGAUCCUGGCUCAGGAUGAACGCUGGCGGCGUGCCUAAUACAUGCAAGUCGAACGCACAGCGAAAGGUGCUUGCACCUUUCAAGUGAGUGGCGAACGGGUGAGUAACACGCUGCGAUAACCGUACCGUCAAGGUUGGGGAUAACAUUUGGAAACAGAUGCUAAUACCGAAUAAAACUUCGUAUCGCAUGAUACAAGGUUAAAAGGCGCUACGGCGUCACCUAGAGAUGGAUCCGCGGUGCAUUAGUUAGUUGGUGGGGUAAAGGCCUACCAAGACAAUGAUGCAUAGCCGAGUUGAGAGACUGAUCGGCCACAUUGGGACUGAGACACGGCCCAAACUCCUACGGGAGGCUGCAGUAGGGAAUCUUCCACAAUGGGCGAAAGCCUGAUGGAGCAACGCCGCGUGUGUGAUGAAGGCUUUCGGGUCGUAAAGCACUGUUGUAUGGGAAGAACAGCUAGAGUAGGGAAUGACUUUAGUUUGACGGUACCAUACCAGAAAGGGACGGCUAAAUACGUGCCAGCAGCCGCGGUAAUACGUAUGUCCCGAGCGUUAUCCGGAUUUAUUGGGCGUAAAGCGAGCGCAGACGGUUGAUUAAGUCUGAUGUGAAAGCCCGGAGCUCAACUCCGGAAAGGCAUUGGAAACUGGUCAACUUGAGUGCAGUAGAGGUAAGUGGAACUCCAUGUGUAGCGGUGGAAUGCGUAGAUAUAUGGAAGAACACCAGCGGCGAAGGCGGCUUACUGGACUGUAANCUGACGUGAGGCUCGAAA